This 504-nucleotide ribosomal RNA is filed under the name uncultured bacterium. Its description in RNAcentral is "partial 16S ribosomal RNA". It matches the Rfam family "Bacterial small subunit ribosomal RNA", at positions 28 to 507 of the family's 1533-position model. The record is from RNAcentral.
GACGAACGCUGGCGGCGUGCUUAACACAUGCAAGUCGAACGGUGAAGCGCUUGCCUUUUUGGUGGGUGUGGAUGAGUGGCGAACGGGUGAGUAACACGUGAGUAACCUGCCCUCUUCUUCUGGAUAACCUCAUGAAAGUGGGGCUAAUACGGGGUAUUCCGGGUCUGUCGCAUGGCGGGUUUGGGAAAGAUUGCGCCUUUGGGUGUUUUCGGUGGGGGAUGGGCUCGCGGCCUAUCAGCUUGUUGGUGGGGUGAUGGCCUACCAAGGCGGUGACGGGUAGCCGGCCUGGGAGGGUGGACGGCCCCCCUGGGACUGAGACACGGCCCAGACUCCUGCGGGAGGCAGCAGUGGGGAAUAUUGCACAAUGGGCGCAAGCCUGAUGCAGCGACGCCGCGUGAGGGAUGGAGGCCUUCGGGUUGUGAACCUCUUUCGCCAGUGAAGCAGGCCUGCUCCUGUGUGGGUGGGUUGACGGUAGCUGGAUAAGAAGCGCCGGCUAACUACGUG